AAACUUUCAACAACGGAUCUCUUGGUUCCGGCAUCGAUUAAGAACGCACCGAAAUGCGAUACGUAAUGUGAAUUGCAGAAUUCAGUGAAUCAUCGAGUCUUUGAACGCACAUUGCGCCCCCUGGUAUUCCGGGGGGCAUGCCUGUCCGAGCGUCAUU
RNAcentral lists this ribosomal RNA (157 nucleotides) under Penicillium striatisporum. Its description in RNAcentral is "5.8S ribosomal RNA". It matches the Rfam family "5.8S ribosomal RNA". From Rfam's summary of the family: 5.8S ribosomal RNA (5.8S rRNA) is a component of the large subunit of the eukaryotic ribosome. The record is from RNAcentral. Lineage: Eukaryota; Fungi; Ascomycota; Eurotiomycetes; Eurotiales; Aspergillaceae.